AAUUCUGAUAUAACUUUAAUUUUAACUUUGGAUUAUCUGUGAAGCGAAUACAUGAGGGCUCACAGUGAGCUUCACUCAUGGGACGCGUUUGUGUUCGGAUCCUCCAUCUUGUUUUGAGCGGGAAGCACACUUUAAUUUUUUCCUCCUUUCUAUUAAUUAAGUGGACUUUGUAGGUUGAAUGUUGAUACUUGUUUUUUGAAUGCACCAUGCAAGGAAACGGCGGCAAUUAUGGCGUUGAAUUAUCGUGCGCUCAUCUUUGGUCUGUGCACUCCUUUCUUAGUUGGUCAGUCAGACGGCUCCUUCCUCCACGACAUCGAGCUUGUAUCUUGGCAGCAAUUGGAGUAAAACACAUUUUUUUGUUAAAUGUGAAAUACUGACAUGAUUGUUUUCUUCUGUAUUUAUUCCCAGAUUCACCUGCAGCGUGUCGCAGAGGAGAAAUAAAUUCAUUCACAUGGGUAUGUUCUGAUGCACGUUUACAUUUAAAUAUUGAAGUAGAAUUUGCUGAUCUGACAUCUGUUAAUCUCAAGACUGCUAUCUUCAUUGGGCUGGAUCAGUAUCUACCAGGGCUACUGGACCUGUACGAGGUCACGGCUGGGACGCUAGCUGGACUGAGCAAGCUGUUCUGAACAACCCUCAACUCAAAGAAAGAUGGAAAUUGUUCUGCUGGGCCUUCCCCACUUAAGGAGGACCCCUCAUGGCAUUCCAAAACUGCUGAGGUAAGUUUAAUUUGACCAC
Long non-coding RNA from Oryzias melastigma (Indian medaka), 735 nucleotides. RefSeq lists it as uncharacterized. The record is from RefSeq and is a predicted model, not a curated record. The transcript has 3 exons. Lineage: Eukaryota; Metazoa; Chordata; Actinopteri; Beloniformes; Adrianichthyidae.